UACGGAAGGUGCAAGCGUUGUUCGGAAUGACUGGGCGUAAAGCGCACGUAGGCGGCUUCGUAAGUCGGAUGUGAAAUCCCUGGGCUCAACCUAGGAACUGCACCCGAAACUACAAAGCUUGAAUGCUUGAGAGGUUGGUGGAAUUCCAGGUGUAGGAGUGAAAUCCGUAGAUAUCUGGAGGAACACCGGUGGCGAAGGCGGCAUCCUGGACCGACACUGACACUGAGGAGCGAAAGCCAGGGGAGCAAACGGG
Molecule: ribosomal RNA, 253 nt
Filed under: uncultured bacterium
Lineage: Bacteria
Description: partial 16S ribosomal RNA
Rfam family: Bacterial small subunit ribosomal RNA
Source: RNAcentral